AAAAACUGAAUCAAUCCAUUAGAAUACUGCAAACAGGAAAACGUAAACGUACUGCAACUAGACAAUUUGACGUCAGAAACUCGUCUUACUGUCCUUUUGACAAUGAUACCGAUAGAAGGGAUUUGUUGAAGAUCAUCAAUGCCAAGAUCAAGAUGUAGUGACAAUGCAACAUCGAUAGAAUUUGAUUACGCAACGUCAUUUGCGAGACAGACCUUCGGCCGCAACGUCAACUGCUAAUCAAAUUGCUGAACGCCAUUUUGCACAGGUUUAUG
Molecule: long non-coding RNA, 272 nt
Filed under: Mytilus galloprovincialis (Mediterranean mussel)
Lineage: Eukaryota; Metazoa; Mollusca; Bivalvia; Mytilida; Mytilidae
Source: RNAcentral